GUUGGCAUCAUCUCUUCUCAGGUGUUCUGGAUCCAGACUGGAGCUUGUGUAAAUCCUAGUUAUCACGGGAUGUAAAUCCCGUGGCAAAGCAGAGAAACAAAUAGAGACAUAAUUAGCGUAGCUGCUGUUCCAGAAAAGUAAGAUGACUUCCCUAAUCGAUCACGCCAUGCAACACUUUUUGCCUAAAUGCUCUUCCUUUUCCGGUUGCUUGAAACAAAGUGUUUGCUGCCUGCACAGGGCUCCUUCUAACACACUGGCAGCACACCGCUGUUAUAGCGGAUAUAAUAAAACACAAAUAUACUCAAAAAGAGAGCAAAUUUCCUCUUCCACCCCUCAUGUGCACCACAGUCCUUUACAGCGACUCAGUGCCCAAACCAAUUCAACCCCUCGCCAUGCAGGCCGAGGCCUGGCAGGCCAUCCCUGGAGUGUCAGAAUGGGUGUUGAACACAGUAAGAUGAGGUUAUGUACUCCAGUUCGCUCAGAGGGCCCUGUUAUUCAACGAUGUGG
Molecule: long non-coding RNA, 507 nt
Organism: Cyprinus carpio carpio
Lineage: Eukaryota; Metazoa; Chordata; Actinopteri; Cypriniformes; Cyprinidae
Source: Ensembl